AUAAUAACAAUAUCAUCAACAUAUGCUACAAGUAAGAUUAGUUCAGCCUUAGAAUGUCUAUAAAACACCGAAUGAUCAGACUUGCUCUUCUUCAUACCAAACUGCUAAACUAUCUCAUUGAAUCUGCCAAUCUGUUUCAAGCCAUAAAGGGAUUUUCGGAGCUUGCAAACUUUGCAUAACUCCCCCUGAGCAACAAAACCUGGUGGUUGCUUCAUAUAAACU
Molecule: unclassified non-coding RNA, 222 nt
Filed under: Hevea brasiliensis (rubber tree)
Lineage: Eukaryota; Viridiplantae; Streptophyta; Magnoliopsida; Malpighiales; Euphorbiaceae
Source: RNAcentral